CUAAUGUUUGGGGGUUGGGGUUAACUAUUAAAGAACCUUUAUGUUAACGUUUCCCAAAUGGGAUUGGCUCCUUGUGAAAGCGCAUAAGAGCCAAGCCGUAACUAGUACAACUGUCGUUAAUUGGAAUUCUGGCUCCCCAAAGCGCUGUUUGUACAUUCUCUCCAUUCCCGUUAAAGUCUUACAGGAAAGUUGCAAGAAUAACAGGAUUUGCAUAUACCUCUCACUUGGAUUCCCCAAAUGUUAAUAUUUGACUACAAUCACUAAAUUAAAUGUUGGCUAGAGAAGAUGGCUAAGUAUGGAACCUAUUAUGAAGUCUGGAACUGGAGGCUUACUGUGAGGUUGAAAUAAGCAACCAGAGGGAUAGGAGACAAGACUACAAACGUGAAGACUUCCUGAAAAGAGGAAAUGAUCAACAUUAGCAAAUGAUGCUAAGAGGUCUAGUAUGAUAAGAAAUGGAAAUGUUCCGGGACGCCCGGGGUGGCUCAGCCGUUGAGCCUCUGCCUUCUGCCCAGGGUGUGAUCCUGGAAUCUCAGGAUCAAGUCCCGCAUUGGGCUUCGUGCAUGGAGCCUGCUUCUUCCCUCUGCCUGGGUCUCUGCCUCUCUCUG
This is a long non-coding RNA of Nyctereutes procyonoides (raccoon dog), 605 nucleotides long. RefSeq lists it as uncharacterized. The record is from RefSeq and is a predicted model, not a curated record. NCBI's taxonomy places the organism in Eukaryota, Metazoa, Chordata, Mammalia, Carnivora, Canidae. The transcript has 3 exons.